CUGGCUGUGAUGAAGCAUUAACACGUAAGAAGAACCUUCAUUACUUGGUUUCUUCAAUGAAAUAUACUACGCUUGGCUUCUGAGCUUG
Small nucleolar RNA from Rhodamnia argentea, 88 nucleotides. RefSeq annotates it as small nucleolar RNA R24. Lineage: Eukaryota; Viridiplantae; Streptophyta; Magnoliopsida; Myrtales; Myrtaceae. The transcript has a single exon. The record is from RefSeq and is a predicted model, not a curated record.